GUAGCAGCAUCUUUUUUAGGAUUCCAGAAUAUAAUAUAAUAAAAAAUUAUUGUACCCUAAUAAUUAAGAUUGACCUUAUCCCCACGGCUCAAUCACAUAAUUAUGCAAGCAAAGCAUAUUCCUUAAAUUUAGCUUAGAUUUUGCAGAUUCAACCAACUUUACCAAUUUUUUAUUUUAUUUUAUUUAUUUAUUUAUUUUUUCCGGUAAGAUACAAGAUACCCCUCCUAUCACAGGAAGGGUAUUGGGGUAAGAAUUAAACCCCGGUCACGCCGGGGGGAGAUGGAAGGAUUAACCAUCCCUCCACUCCUUGAUCCACAACUAACUUUACCACUUAGUUUUCCAAACUUUGCACAAUAAUUAAUGAGAUAAUCAUCCCCAAUUAUUAUACACAUUAACAUUAAGAAUAUAAUAAUAUAUCUUUAUCUAUAUAAACAUAGUUUAGGCUAAUACAAUAUCAGGGGAUGUCACUUACCCUGCGAAUUCAUUGGCAAUGCCUAAAAUAUAUCCCAACUUCUAAAUCAUUUUGUUAUAUCAGAUUCUAUUAUAUAGCAGUGGGUUGUUACUAUGUCGCGGUAAGCUCUAGUUAUAACUAUGCAAUCGUAAUCCAUGGCAAUUGAUGAGCACGCGACCUGGUCUUUUGCAAUUAGAAUUUGGACUUGAUCAUACAGGAAUUGGUGUACAAGGAUGCAAUUAGAAGAAAUAUUUAUUCGUUCUUAUAGAUUUAUCUAGUACACCACAAAAAUUCUAUGUACAUUAUUAAGGGUUCGAAUUCUUUAGGAGAUUAUACAUUUGUAUUCUAAAAAAUGUACUUGCCUAAAUUAUGGCUGUAUGUAGGGGAGAAGGGGAAAUUGUAGGGUGAUCAAGUAGCAUCCUCCUCAUAUCGAUUAAGCCGUGCUCUCAACUCGAUCAUCUCUUUGGAUCAUCCUUCUAUGUAUUAUAAUGUCUGAUUUAUGAAGUACAAGCCUGUUGCUAUUUACUUCAGAAAUGUUGCAUGA
This is a long non-coding RNA of Chenopodium quinoa (quinoa), 995 nucleotides long. RefSeq lists it as uncharacterized. Lineage: Eukaryota; Viridiplantae; Streptophyta; Magnoliopsida; Caryophyllales; Amaranthaceae. The transcript has 2 exons. The record is from RefSeq and is a predicted model, not a curated record.